GGCAUGUGGGAUCUUCCCGGACCGGGGCACGAACCCGUGUCCCCUGCAUCGGCAGGCGGACUCUCGACCACUGCGCCACCAGGGAAGCCCCCUCCUCACAGUUUUUUCACGCAACAGUUCCCCGACCAGGGACUGAACCCGGGCCCUCAGCAAUGAAAGCGCGGCGUCCUAACCACUGGACCACCAGGGAAGUCCCUAAAACCAUUAUUGACCACUGUCAUCGUAGAGCUGUUUGGACCAAGAGGAGCAACUUGAGCUUGUGCGUGUGUCCUAACGUUGCAAGUCCCUUCGGCAGUGAGAAGGGCCAAGGUCAGGAGCGAAAGAAAGUUGUAUUUGAUCUGGGGCUUCUGGCUUUGUGGAGUUAUGGCACUGAAGGACUCGGACCUGGCAGGACCUUCGGGGCAAAUUCCUGAAAGUCUGACCAUCAACUGUUUCUUUUCUGAUGUACUGACCCUAGUGACCCGACUGGUCAAAUUUUGUCAUUUCUAUCUCUAUCCCUUCUCCCUCUCCACAAUUAAAGGAUGUUUUCCUCUCAUUCAGAUGCCC
This is a long non-coding RNA of Aethalodelphis obliquidens (Pacific white-sided dolphin), 546 nucleotides long. RefSeq lists it as uncharacterized. The transcript has 2 exons. The record is from RefSeq and is a predicted model, not a curated record. NCBI's taxonomy places the organism in Eukaryota, Metazoa, Chordata, Mammalia, Artiodactyla, Delphinidae.